UUAUGUUCAAAUCCCUACAUUGACAUGAGUGUUAAUUUUUGCUCAGUUGACUGAUAGAGUUUUGGUUGAGUUAAAAGUCUGAGGAGGUUGUGAGUUAGUGGGUUAUUUGGAGAAAAAUAAGGGAUAUCUUUUAUUUUAUUUUUAUUUCUUUUUGUUCAAAAUUUUCUCUGUCUCCCAAAAGAAAAUCUAUCGUUAGUUCUUUCUCUUUUUCUCUGUAUUUUUGUUCUUUUUCCUUUUUACUAUAUCCUCCUAUUCUGUUGAACUGCCGUCAAAUCCUUGCGUGUUGGGAAUUCCGUUUUCCUUCGUUCAUCUGGUAAGUG
This 320-nucleotide long non-coding RNA is filed under the name Gossypium raimondii (Peruvian cotton). RNAcentral describes it as "long non-coding RNA (GRAI_LNC003625)". The record is from RNAcentral. Lineage: Eukaryota; Viridiplantae; Streptophyta; Magnoliopsida; Malvales; Malvaceae.